RNAcentral lists this ribosomal RNA (479 nucleotides) under Haemophilus sp. 'paraurethrae'. Its description in RNAcentral is "bacterial SSU rRNA". It matches the Rfam family "Bacterial small subunit ribosomal RNA", at positions 30 to 497 of the family's 1533-position model. Lineage: Bacteria; Pseudomonadati; Pseudomonadota; Gammaproteobacteria; Pasteurellales; Pasteurellaceae. The record is from RNAcentral.
AUUGAACGCUGGCGGCAGGCUUAACACAUGCAAGUCGAACGGUAACAUAAAGAAGCUUGCUUCUUUGAUGACGAGUGGCGGACGGGUGAGUAAUGCUUGGGAAUCUGGCUUAUGGAGGGGGAUAACUACGGGAAACUGUAGCUAAUACCGCGUAAUAUCGAAAGAUUAAAGUGUGGGACCUUCGGGCCACAUGCCAUAGGAUGAGCCCAAGUGGGAUUAGGUAGUUGGUGAGGUAAAGGCUCACCAAGCCGACGAUCUCUAGCUGGUCUGAGAGGAUGACCAGCCACACUGGGACUGAGACACGGCCCAGACUCCUACGGGAGGCAGCAGUGGGGAAUAUUGCGCAAUGGGGGCAACCCUGACGCAGCCAUGCCGCGUGAAUGAAGAAGGCCUUCGGGUUGUAAAGUUCUUUCGGUAGUGAGGAAGGUGGUUAGUUUAAUAGGCUAGCCAAUUGACGUUACUACAGAAGAAGCACCGGC